UAGUAUUCAAUUGCCAGAGGUGAAANUCUUGGAUUUAUUGAAGACUAACUACUGCGAAAGCAUUUGCCAAGGAUGUUUUCAUUAAUCAAGAACGAAAGUUAGGGGAUCGAAGACGAUCAGAUACCGUCGUAGUCUUAACCAUAAACUAUGCCGACUAGGGAUCGGAUGAUGUUAAUUUUAUAAUGACUCA
This 190-nucleotide ribosomal RNA is filed under the name uncultured Glomeromycotina. RNAcentral describes it as "partial small subunit ribosomal RNA". It matches the Rfam family "Eukaryotic small subunit ribosomal RNA", at positions 892 to 1078 of the family's 1831-position model. Lineage: Eukaryota; Fungi; Glomeromycota. The record is from RNAcentral.